RNAcentral lists this unclassified non-coding RNA (372 nucleotides) under soil metagenome. RNAcentral describes it as "partial contains 5.8S ribosomal RNA, internal transcribed spacer 2, and large subunit ribosomal RNA". The stretch from base 5 to 120 matches the Rfam family "5.8S ribosomal RNA", at positions 40 to 154 of the family's 154-position model. The record is from RNAcentral.
GAUGAGAACGUAGCGAAAUGCGAUAAGUAAUGCGAAUUGCAGAAUUCCAGUGAGUCAUCGAAUCUUUGAACGCACAUUGCGCCCUUUGGUAUUCCGAAGGGCAUGCCUGUUCGAGCGUCAUUAUCACCCCUCAAGCCCUCGGCUUGGUGUUGGACGGUUUGGUGGAGGCCCCCUCGGGGGCUCCUGCCCCUCCCAAAGACAAUGACGGCGGCCUCGUUGGACCCCCGGUACACUGAGUUCUUCACGGGACACGUAUCGGACACAUGGGUUUACGGGACACGGUCUGCCUCCCCUCAGGGAGAAUCUUUCUAAGGUUGACCUCGGAUCAGGUAGGGAUACCCGCUGAACUUAAGCAUAUCAAUAAGCGGAGGA